RNAcentral lists this transfer RNA (73 nucleotides) under Conexibacter arvalis. Its description in RNAcentral is "Conexibacter sp. KV-962 tRNA". It matches the Rfam family "tRNA". Rfam says of the family: Transfer RNA (tRNA) molecules are approximately 80 nucleotides in length. Their secondary structure includes four short double-helical elements and three loops (D, anti-codon, and T loops). Further hydrogen bonds mediate the characteristic L-shaped molecular structure. tRNAs have two regions of fundamental functional importance: the anti-codon, which is responsible for specific mRNA codon recognition, and the 3' end, to which the tRNAs corresponding amino acid is attached (by aminoacyl-tRNA synthetases). tRNAs cope with the degeneracy of the genetic code in two manners: having more than one tRNA (with a specific anti-codon) for a particular amino acid; and 'wobble' base-pairing, i.e. permitting non-standard base-pairing at the 3rd anti-codon position. The record is from Rfam by way of RNAcentral. Lineage: Bacteria; Bacillati; Actinomycetota; Thermoleophilia; Solirubrobacterales; Conexibacteraceae.
GGGCGGUUAGCUCAGUUGGUAGAGCACUCGCCUUACAAGCGAGAGGCCGCCGGUUCGAACCCGGCACCGCCCA